Chiloscyllium plagiosum (whitespotted bambooshark) is the source of this 1090-nucleotide long non-coding RNA. RefSeq lists it as uncharacterized. NCBI's taxonomy places the organism in Eukaryota, Metazoa, Chordata, Chondrichthyes, Orectolobiformes, Hemiscylliidae. The record is from RefSeq and is a predicted model, not a curated record.
GGUCUGUCAUGUUUGGGUAAACAUUGUACAACAGGAGUUUUGGCAUCUUCCUGUUUAUUUUUUUUUGUGCGUCUCCUUUUUUUCUGUGUGACGUGUGUGCUUUUAUAUAUUUAUAUCUAUAUAGUCCUCGUGAAAACCCGCGUGGAGUAGCCGAGCGGCGACGUUUUUUUUUAAAAGGUAAGCUGUCGCUUUUGGAGAGAAAAGAAGAAUAGAUCUUGAGCUUGCGUGGAAUGACUGGCCCGACUGAAACAGGGGAAGAAAUGUGAAUGAUCCGCAGCAGAUCAACAAGGAGGUAGCGAAUGCCUUUUGGGACAAUCGGGCGACCCUGACACAAGUGCUUUUUCCACUUCCAAAUUGCCAGCUGUUCGUUGAUGUCUUUUCCAAGUAGCCUUUCUGCUCUUGCGAGUCUGAAGAGUUUGUCAGCAGAAUAUUUGACUGUCUAAGACAUCAUAACUAAUCUUGAGCCCACCGUUGUCCUGAGGUAUGAAGCAGUCAUUGGAUAUUGGCUCUCAGUAUUGAUUAGUCAUGCACACAUACAUCUUGAAUCUAAUGGAGACUGCACCACAUUACAAAGACAUCUACCAGCAGGAAUUAUUGAAGGAGGGAUUUGGCAAAAUCAGGACUGAAACCUGAGAGCCUGAAGAUUUUGUUCAUGGUGAAAGCUACCAAUACCAGCUCCAGCACUGGGACCAACACAGGCAGCAACAGAUACAGCGGCAAAGAACAUCUGAAAUAUCUGUGUCACACAAAGGAUGAAAAGUAACUGCUCUGAGUAAACCUCUUGUGGGUAAAAUGUAGGAAGCACAACAUAUUCAACAAUGUUUAAAUAGCUUCUGACCAUAUAUUUUUACUCCAUUUGGUCUUGGGAUGUGUGUGAUGCUAACCAGCCAAUCUUCCUUGGGCAUUUCUCAUAUCCCUGAUAGUAUGAUGAUUCAGUCAUUUAGCAUUGGGCUGGAGUAACGUGUAGACCAGAUUGGAUUGAAGUGAUGGGUUCCCCUCCUGCAAGGACAUGAGGUUUUAGAUUUAGAUUUUAGAUUUAGAUUACAGUGUGGAAACAGGCCCUUCGGCCCAACAAGUCCACACCGACCCG